Felis catus (domestic cat) is the source of this 708-nucleotide long non-coding RNA. RefSeq lists it as uncharacterized. The transcript has 2 exons. The record is from RefSeq and is a predicted model, not a curated record. Lineage: Eukaryota; Metazoa; Chordata; Mammalia; Carnivora; Felidae.
ACCAAAGCGGGUGAUGCCAGCCGGGUGUCCCGGCAGAGAAAGGCCAGCCCCAUCCGCCACCGGGCACUGCCCUCCCGAGCCGCUGUUGGCCCUGGCUCCGUCCCCCAGUAUCCGUCCUCCCUGGUGGCGGCGGUGGGGGGGGGGGGCUGGAGUCCUCACUGGCUCUGUCUCCUGACACAACCCCUCCUCCCCCACCGCGAGGACACUGAUAGCUGUCGCCCCGUGUGCGGGAAGCAGGGCUCAGGGCACAGGGCACCGGGCAGCCUCCACCUAAGGGAGCUCGGCCACCACCUGUCAUCAGGGAACUACUGCGCAGGCAGGCAUCCUCGGGCCGCCCUCGCCACCCAAGGGCACCGCCGCGUGCACAGCCCCGUCCGGGGAUGGCGACCUGGGGUCAGUGGACACCUGCCCUCCGGGGGCUCCCGUCUGGUGGUGGAGUGAGGGCGCACCGGUGGAAACCGAGGCUGGGAGAAGCCGUCAGCGGAACCGGAUUUUUACCCCAGUCUGUAUCGUGAGCAGCCACGGCCCUGGCCCCCACUUGUCCGGGGCGCCCUCCCCACGGGCAGCUGCACCCUCUCACACGCGAGAAAUCGAGACUGCGGGGAAAGGGUGCCUGCGAUGGUACCGCACGCACGCGGCCGCCCGCAGGGCCCGAGGAAGCAUCUGGGCAAACACUUUGCAAAAUGAAUAAAUGAGCCCAUAAGGUGA